Chelonia mydas (Green sea turtle) is the source of this 235-nucleotide long non-coding RNA. RefSeq lists it as uncharacterized. The record is from RefSeq and is a predicted model, not a curated record. The transcript is spliced from 3 exons. Lineage: Eukaryota; Metazoa; Chordata; Testudines; Cheloniidae.
CAUCCUCUCUGGAGCACCUGGCACUGGUCACUGUCAGACUACAGGCUACUGGGCUAGAUGGACCAUUGGCCUGACCCAGUAUGGCCACUCUUAUGUUCUUAUGAAACUGUGCUCCUUUUCUCUCCUGCAGCUUCUAUUGCUGAACAAUAACAUGGAGAGAAAAAUGCUUCCCAACCCCAGCUAGUUUAAGCCUUGAAGCAUGGAAAUAUGAUGUGCUGUAAAAGAGCUGCUGUGU